GUUUGCCUGCCGUGAAGAAGCCAGCGGGUCAGAGCCAGGGAGGAUUUCGCUCGGGAAUGUGCUCCCAGCGAGGGGCUGUGGUGGAGAGCAGGGAUGGAGACGCCGCAGGGAUUGUCCCAAGGCGGAGGGCUGGCGGCAAGGCGGGCAAGGACAGCGGCAAGGCCAAGGCCAAGGCCGUGUCGCGCUCCCAGAGGGCUGGGCUGCAGGUAUGCUCAGGGUGCUGGGCACCCACACCUCUGAUGUGGGGUAAAAACAGGGGGGUUUGGCACUUGGAGGGGCUUGGAGCCAUGGGGGUUUUGCUGUCAGGUGGGACACAGACUGGGAGGAUUAAUUGGGAGAAGUGUUAUAUUAUUAUAUUCAUUAUACUAUUUAUAUUAUAAUGUUACAUAUUACAAUAUUUUAUAUUAUGUGGUAUAAUAUUUUAUAUUAUAUUAUUAUAUAAUAUAUACUUUAUUUUUAUUUUUAUUAUAUAUUUCAUUAUAUUUUAAAUUAAGAAUUAUUAUGAUUAAAAUACAAUUAUUUUAUGCUAUACAAGGUAUAUAUUGUAUAUAUAUACAAUAUAUACACUUACAUACNUGCUCCCGCCGCUCCCGCUGCCGUCGCUCUUUUUAAAGGGAUUUUUAAAGCGAAUUUCUUCCGUUUAUCCCGUUUUUAAGCCUUCUCCGUCGCAAAGGACCCGGAUCCCUCACUCACUCACUCGGGAGCAAUAGUCCUUCCUCGAUGGCCGAUGUGUCCUGUACUGUAUUUUGUACCCUCAGGCAGCUCUUUCCGGUGAAUUCCUGCUGUAUCCACCCAUCCUCCUGGUCCUGUGUUCUUUGCCACGGAGAAAAAUCCAUAAACCACGACGGCGACGACGGGUUUGGGGGGAAGAACGCUCCCAGCUCCGCGGGACUCACCGGCGUCCAGCCGCGGGACCUCUCCUUUUAUUUUUGAAGAGGAUGAGAUAUAUAUAUAUAUAUAUAUAUAAAAAUAUAUAUAUAUUCCUUUGGGUUUCUUUCUUUUGGCUGAAUUGCGGUGAUUUAGCCUUAUUUCUACUCUGGGAGAGCGGCGGAAUUGCUGCCGGCCCGGCCCAGCUCUGGGGAGCUGGCUAGAAAUACGUGGAAGAGGAAAAAAAAAGCAAGGCAAAACCACCUAAAUCCAGUAAUAAACCCAAAAAAGAGCUCCCGGCGUUGGCCCA
Molecule: long non-coding RNA, 1177 nt
Filed under: Zonotrichia albicollis (white-throated sparrow)
Lineage: Eukaryota; Metazoa; Chordata; Aves; Passeriformes; Passerellidae
Description: lncRNA (ENSZALG00000000193.1)
Source: RNAcentral